AGAGUUUGAUCCUGGCUCAGAAUAAACGUUGGCGGCGUGCUUAACACAUGCAAGUCGCGCGAGAAAGCUCCUUCGGGAGUGAGUAAAGCGGCGGACGGGUGCGUAACACGUAAGAAUUUGCCCUUCAGUGAAGGAUACCCACGAGAAAUUGUGGUUAAUACUGCAUACGUUCCUACGGGAAGAAAGGUGGCUUUAUGCUGCCGUUGAAGGAUAAGCUUGCGCGCUAUUAGCUUGUUGGUGAGGUAAAGGCUCACCAAGGCUAUGAUGGCUAGCCGGCCUGAGAGGGUGUACGGCCACAUUGGGACUGAGAUACGGCCCAGACUCCUACGGGAGGCAGCAGUGAGGAAUAUUGCGCAAUGGGCGAAAGCCUGACGCAGCGACGCCGCGUGGAGGAUGACGGUUUUCGGAUUGUAAACUCCUGUUAAGUGGGAAGAAAGCUCGGCCUCUAAUAUAGGUCGAGGAUGACGGUACCACUAGAGAAAGCACCGGCUAACUUCGUGCCAGCAGCCGCGGUAAUACGAGGGGUGCAAACGUUAUUCGGAUUUACUGGGCGUAAAGGGUGUGUAGACGGCGUACUAAGUUCGUUGUUAAAUCUUCCGGCUUAACCGGAAGCUCGCGAUGGAAACUGGUAUGCUUGAGGAUGGAAGAGAGAAGUGGAAUUCUCGGAGUACCGGU
RNAcentral lists this ribosomal RNA (675 nucleotides) under uncultured bacterium. Its description in RNAcentral is "bacterial SSU rRNA". It matches the Rfam family "Bacterial small subunit ribosomal RNA", at positions 8 to 682 of the family's 1533-position model. The record is from RNAcentral.